GACGAACGCUGGCGGCGUGCUUAACACAUGCAAGUCGAACGGUAAGGCCCUUCGGGGUACACGAGUGGCGAACGGGUGAGUAACACGUGGGUGAUCUGCCCUGCACUUCGGGAUAAGCCUGGGAAACUGGGUCUAAUACCGGAUAGGACCACUGCCUGCAUGGGGGGUGGUGGAAAGCUUUUGCGGUGUGGGAUGGGCCCGCGGCCUAUCAGCUUGUUGGUGGGGGGAUGGCCUACCAAGGCGACGACGGGUAGCCGGCCUGGGAGGGUGACCGGCCACACUGGGACUGGGAUACGGCCCAGACGCCUACGGGAGGCAGCAGUGGGGAAUAUUGCACAAUGGGCGCAAGCCUGAUGCAGCGACGCCGCGUGAGGGAUGACGGCCUUCGGGUUGUAAACCUCUUUCAGCACCGACGAAGCGCAAGUGACGGUAGGUGCAGAAGAAGGACCGGCCAACUACGUGCCAGCCGCCGCAGUAA
This 478-nucleotide ribosomal RNA is filed under the name uncultured bacterium. RNAcentral describes it as "partial 16S ribosomal RNA". It matches the Rfam family "Bacterial small subunit ribosomal RNA", at positions 28 to 523 of the family's 1533-position model. The record is from RNAcentral.